RNAcentral lists this ribosomal RNA (312 nucleotides) under Triticum aestivum (bread wheat). RNAcentral describes it as "partial small subunit ribosomal RNA". The record is from RNAcentral. Lineage: Eukaryota; Viridiplantae; Streptophyta; Magnoliopsida; Poales; Poaceae.
AUGAAAACCAUGAUUUCAACAUUUUCUUACUCGGAUGCGAUAGUUAUGUCGCCCAUAAGCAUCAAGUACACAACAGAUGUGCUAGAGAAAACACAUCAAUACAAAAGCCACCUUCAGAUAGAAGGCCAGAUGAACUACAACAUGACUCGGUACCCUCCACUUUUCACUUCUAUAGACAUAGUCGAGCUGAGCUAUCAGAUUACCCACAAAGCCAGCCAUCCACUAGGAACUAAGUUAACUAAAAUCCAAGCAGACAUGAACAUCCCAGAAAUAAGUACUCACAUCCUCCACCUACUCAAAUCCUACUGUUAG